UGCCGCCAGAUCAUAGUUCAAGCAGAUUAACAAAUUCAGAAAUUACGGUGGGCUGUUCCUGUUUUCAUAACUUGCCCAUCUACUUUAAGUUAGCAAAUUAUGAAUUCAGGAUAACAUAAAAAGAAUAUUAUAGCUAACUGCAGAACUUCAUGCCCAAGUUGCAGAAAAAUACCCUCCUAAGGAAAGACAAUGAAAGGUCAAAGAAGCCUUAUUUCUCAUGAACAAGGGGGCUGUAAACUGGGAACCACAUGUCGCGCGAGAUGUAUUCCACCGUCUCCUCUUUAGACAUGUUCUUGAGCUCUCUGGGGCCCACAUCACCAUGUCCUUCUGCCAAACCUUCUGCAACAGCUGCUCGUAAAACAGCAGCACCAACCUCAGCCGUAAUGUGUCGAAUACUAUUAACAGAUGG
This 409-nucleotide unclassified non-coding RNA is filed under the name Hevea brasiliensis (rubber tree). The record is from RNAcentral. Lineage: Eukaryota; Viridiplantae; Streptophyta; Magnoliopsida; Malpighiales; Euphorbiaceae.